ACGAACGCUGGCGGCGUGCUUAACACAUGCAAGUCGAGCGGUAAGGCCCUUCGGGGUACACGAGCGGCGAACGGGUGAGUAACACGUGGGUGACCUGCCCCCUACUCUGGGAUAAGCCUGGGAAACUGGGUCUAAUACCGGAUAUGACUACAUGUCGCAUGGUGUGUGGUGGAAAGUUUUUCGGUGGGGGAUGGGCCCGCGGCCUAUCAGCUUGUUGGUGGGGUGAUGGCCUACCAAGGCGACGACGGGUAGCCGGCCUGGGAGGGCGACCGGCCACACUGGGACUGAGACACGGCCCAGACUCCUACGGGAGGCAGCAGUGGGGAAUAUUGCGCAAUGGGCGGAAGCCUGACGCAGCGACGCCGCGUGGGGGAUGACGGCCUUCGGGUUGUAAACCUCUUUCGGCCCCGACGAAGCGUGAGUGACGGUAGGGGUAGAAGAAGCACCGGCCAACUACGU
This 459-nucleotide ribosomal RNA is filed under the name uncultured bacterium. Its description in RNAcentral is "bacterial SSU rRNA". It matches the Rfam family "Bacterial small subunit ribosomal RNA", at positions 29 to 506 of the family's 1533-position model. The record is from RNAcentral.